GAUGAACGCUGGCGGCGUGCUUAACACAUGCAAGUCGAACGGAAAGGCUCCUGCUUGCUGGGGUACUCGAGUGGCGAACGGGUGAGUAACACGUGGGUGAUCUGCCCUGCACUUCGGGAUAAGCCUGGGAAACUGGGUCUAAUACCGGAUAGGACCACAUUUUGGAUGGUGUGGUGGAGAGUUUUUCGGUGUGGGAUGAGCUCGCGGCUUAUCAGCUUGUUGGUGGGGUAAUGGCAUACCAAGGCGUCGACGGGUAGCCGGCCUGAGAGGGUGUACGGCCACAUUGGGACUGAGAUACGGCCCAGACUCCUACGGGAGGCAGCAGUGGGGAAUAUUGCACAAUGGGCGCAAGCCUGAUGCAGCGACGCCGCGUGGGGGAUGACGGCCUUCGGGUUGUAAACUCCUUUCGCCAGUGACGAAGCGCAAGUGACGGUACCGGGAGAAGAAGCACCGGCUAACUACGUG
Molecule: ribosomal RNA, 465 nt
Filed under: uncultured bacterium
Lineage: Bacteria
Description: partial 16S ribosomal RNA
Rfam family: Bacterial small subunit ribosomal RNA
Source: RNAcentral